ACUCAAGAUUCAUUUAAUCUAUAUUACCAAAACCGUCAAAUGUGCAUUGGCUAUUUCUUUUUAUACAGUGAAAUGACAUGCCGGUUCCAUGAUAUAUGACAUGUCAUAUAGGUGUGUGACAGGUGAAAGGAUGCAAUUCAGCUUUGCUGCAAUUUGCAAAGACAACAAACAUCCCCAUUCUUUUGGAAAAAAGAUCACCUAAUGCAGUGCAAGAGAAAGGUUUUAAUUUUGAUGAUACUAGGAUUAUGAGAGGAGCAUGGAGGAAUGAGUCUAAUCUUGAUAUCUGCAAGCUACAUAGGAGUUCUUCAGAUGCCUUGCUAUAUAUCAACAAAUGCACAUAAAUACGACUCUUCCUUUUUUAAGGGUAAGCAUUUUAUAUUUUGUUCUUGAAAUUGCAAUGUUAUUGCUUUUUUUUCCCUACUCAUUGGAAGUGAUUUUUGUGACCUUUAAACUGCUAUUUUUGGUAGAAUAUAUUGAUUGGUUAAGUAGUUUAUAAUCUUCUUAGGCUUAUAUUCUUUUCAUUUUCUUGCUUAUGCUUUCAAGUUUACUAAAAUAGAUGAUUCUCCUCAUAUUUUAUACAUAAUAAUAAAAGGGAGGAUGAUGCAAAAAAUAACAUAUCUACCUUGCCCAGCAAUAUCUUAGCAAAUCAACCAACUAUGUUUGCGAACAUAGAUACUAAUGUAGAUAACCUAUAGUUUUGAAGAAGCAAGUAUGCAGUUUAAUACAUUUACCUUACUGUAUCAACUGCCAAGUCUUAGGUGGUGUUUAUUUGUAUUUUUCAUUUUUUUUUAAUUUUCAAUGUGUAAUAAGAAACUGAGAUGUAUAAUGUAUAAUGAAUUUUAUAAAAGCAGGAUCACAUUUGUACAG
This is a non-coding RNA of Arachis ipaensis, 867 nucleotides long. NCBI's taxonomy places the organism in Eukaryota, Viridiplantae, Streptophyta, Magnoliopsida, Fabales, Fabaceae. The record is from RefSeq and is a predicted model, not a curated record.